RNAcentral lists this unclassified non-coding RNA (311 nucleotides) under uncultured fungus. Its description in RNAcentral is "partial contains small subunit ribosomal RNA, internal transcribed spacer 1, and 5.8S ribosomal RNA". The stretch from base 1 to 73 matches the Rfam family "Eukaryotic small subunit ribosomal RNA", at positions 1759 to 1831 of the family's 1831-position model. The record is from RNAcentral. Lineage: Eukaryota; Fungi.
CCAAACUUGGUCAUUUAGAGGAAGUAAAAGUCGUAACAAGGUUUCCGUAGGUGAACCUGCGGAAGGAUCAUUAAAAAGUUUUGGGUUUUUUAAACCUAACUUCUAAACCAUUGUUUAACUAAUUUAUAUUUUGCUUUGGUAAAGCAGAUUUUUUAAAAAAUCGAUUGGAGAAUUUAAUUUUCUAAUUUGUCUUUACCAAUAGCCCCAUUAAAAUCGUUUUAAUUAAAAAAGUCUGAAAAUUUUAUUAAAUUAAAUAAAUAAAAACUUUCAACAACGGAUCUCUUGGUUCUGGCAUCGAUGAAGAACGCAGC